RNAcentral lists this ribosomal RNA (497 nucleotides) under uncultured bacterium. Its description in RNAcentral is "partial 16S ribosomal RNA". It matches the Rfam family "Bacterial small subunit ribosomal RNA", at positions 28 to 507 of the family's 1533-position model. The record is from RNAcentral.
GAUGAACGCUGGCGGCGUGCCUAAUACAUGCAAGUCGAGCGAACAGACCAGGAGCUUGUUCCUCUUACUUUAGCGGCGGACGGGUGAGUGACACGUGGAUAACCUCACUAUAAGCCUGGGAUAACUUCGGGAAACCGGAGCUAAUACCGGAUCAUAUAUUGAACCGCAUGGUUCAUUAGUGAGAGACGGUUUUGCUGUCACUGAUAGAUGGAUCCGCGCCGCAUUAGCUAGUUGGUAAGGUAACGGCUUACCAAGGCAACGAUGCGUAGGCGAUCUGAGAGGGGGAUCAGCCACACUGGAUCUGAGACACGGUCCAGACUACUACGGGAGGCAGCAGUAGGGAAUCGUACGCAAUGGGCGAAAGCAUGGCGGGACAAAGCCGAGUGAGUGAUGAAGGUCUUCGGAUAGUAAUACUCUGUUAUUAGGGAAGAACAAAUGUGUAAGUAACGAGGCACGUCUUGACGGUACCUAAUCAGAAAGCCACGGCUAACUACGUG